Molecule: ribosomal RNA, 482 nt
Filed under: uncultured bacterium
Lineage: Bacteria
Description: bacterial SSU rRNA
Rfam family: Bacterial small subunit ribosomal RNA
Source: RNAcentral
AUUGAACGCUGGCGGCAUGCCUUACACAUGCAAGUCGAACGGUAACAGAUCUUCGGAUGCUGACGAGUGGCGAACGGGUGAGUAAUAUAUCGGAACGUGCCCAGUCGUGGGGGAUAACGCAGCGAAAGCUGUGCUAAUACCGCAUACGAUCUAUGGAUGAAAGCGGGGGAUCGCAAGACCUCGCGCGAUUGGAGCGGCCGAUAUCAGAUUAGGUAGUUGGUGGGGUAAGGCCCACCAAGCCAACGAUCUGUAGCUGGUCUGAGAGGACGACCAGCCACACUGGAACUGAGACACGGUCCAGACUCCUACGGGAGGCAGCAGUGGGGAAUUUUGGACAAUGGGCGCAAGCCUGAUCCAGCCAUGCCGCGUGAGUGAAGAAGGCCUUCGGGUUGUAAAGCUCUUUCAGGUAGGAAGAAAUCGCACUUUCUAAUACAAGGUGUAGGAUAGACGGUACCGAUCAGAAGAAGCACCGGCUAACUACG